AAGGAGCACCGACCAGUCUUCACCGGCUGGUCUACGUCGAGGUCAUCAGCGAACGUCUGAUGCUCGGCAAGCUCAUUAGUGGAGCACUGGCUACUCGGUUCAGCGUGAUCGCUGCCCGUCUAGUACCGCCCGGCUUGCUGGGAGUGGGAACGAGGGUGACAGGGGUUACGAGGUUCCGGACACACUGUUGGGUCCUGAGGAAACGGGCCCUGCAGCCUUACGAGGUUGCGGGUCUUGCUUCUUCUGGAGCACAGGACCAGCGAAGGAUCGCCGUUGCGCGGUUUGGAGCUGGUUGCUGUUUGUUGUUUGAGAUUUGCAUAGUGGACGCGAGCAUCUUUGU
Molecule: unclassified non-coding RNA, 340 nt
Filed under: Nonomuraea africana
Lineage: Bacteria; Bacillati; Actinomycetota; Actinomycetes; Streptosporangiales; Streptosporangiaceae
Source: RNAcentral